This 1973-nucleotide long non-coding RNA is filed under the name Panax ginseng (ginseng). Its description in RNAcentral is "long non-coding RNA (PGIN_LNC009883)". The record is from RNAcentral. Lineage: Eukaryota; Viridiplantae; Streptophyta; Magnoliopsida; Apiales; Araliaceae.
CUCACCUUAUCCUUCCCAAGGUUGCUAGGCUAAAACUCAAGUCAAAAUAGAAACUGUUUGAAUCCCACUUCAGUGUGCCCCUAAUUUUGGUACCCAAUAUGAACAUAUCACAAUAGAGUCCAGACAACUACAGUCAGUUGCUGAACCAUUUAUAAGCAAUGAGACAUAAAGAUAUGGCUCAGAAGUAGCCAUCUUACUUUAUAUGUAACAUAAUAUAUCAUGGUUGGUUGGCUAUGUCCUGGCUCUAAUUCACUUCAAUUUUGUAGAAAAUUAUUGAGAUACAAUUAUUAGAGAGGGAAAUAAAGCAGAAGAUGCCAAGAUGCCAAAAUGCACCUAUGAAAAUUAACUUCCUAGAGUUUUACAAGAUGAGAUACAAAUCAGGCCACUGAGUCAUUUGAUUCUUAGCUCAACUUGCAUUGGGGAGCCAAUGGAACAAAAUAAAGAAAGAAACAACUCUACUUUCUUGAAGAUAAGAAGGCCACCACGUCCAUUUUGGACAGAUCUAGACAUUCAUCUUUUCUAUAUGUCAUAGAGCUAACUGGACCGGUGCACCUUUUGGUUAUCAGGAAUCUGAAAGAUAAUAAUGGAAAGAUAGGACUGAACCUUAGCUUUUUUGAAGAUAUUGAACCAACAGUUUAAAAAAGAGGAAAUAAUUCACAAAGCGUAAACAGUUUUUUCAUGCUCCUGAUGAAACAACAUUAAUAUGCAACUCACUUCCCGACCAUAAACUAUACUCAAAAGGGGUGACAGAGAUGAUUGUUGAUGUUCAGGUUUCUUUACUAGUACAUUAUUGUGCUCCCAAGCAUUGCAUAAUAGAGUUAUUAGUGUCUUCAGUUUUGUCCUGUAAACAGUCGAUAUAAAAAAUUCCUCCACUAAUUAUACAAUUUAAUGUCAAAAGGAAUCAAGUUUCAUCAUACGGUGAGACUACACCAACUUGUAAUCACUAUCUAUAAUUAUAUAUUGUCUCACUUCCCCAUUUCCUAUAAUGAAGCAAUAUUUAAAUACUGAACUUCUCUUAGACUGAGUAGAGGUUAACUAGUAAAGAAUUGGCGAACAAUAAUUAACUCAAGGGGGGAGAACAAGAAUCAGUUCAAAGAUAACUGUGAGCCUGUGACUACAACCUCUUCCAAAUUGGUUUAAUUUUAAACACUUCCCUUCAAGAAAACACCCUCUUUUAGAUACAUCUUGUUCAACACAAAGGAAUCUCAAGUAAUGGCAUCAUAUUUCAAAUUCAACUACAAAACCACAAAUAUGAAGACAACCGCAAAGAAUCAAAAUCUUCCAAACCUAAAAAGUAUCAAAUGAGAAGGCAUGCUUCUUGAAUGCAAAUAGAACUUACAAAAUUCCACAAGUUAGCAAAAUCAAUCACAACCAAACAAAAAGCAUUCUAUUCUUCACUAGUGAAAUGCCACAACAAUCAUAGCUUUAAGAACAGAAAGAAAUUACUGAAGAUAGUUUCAAAGCACAUAAUAUGAAACUCCUACAAUAGAAAGAGUUUAGGCGAAUUGAAGACGCACAAUGUAUAGCAGAAACAAGCUUCUCAGGAAUUGAUCAAUGAUGAAUAAUUAGGUGUAUUGUCUUCAAGCUGAUGAUCAAUUUAGUCCUAGAAAUCUGCUUUUUUAAUCCCAAGUUCAGAUUUUUCUCAUGUCAGAAGUGAAUCUAUUACUUUAUUCCACACAAAUAAUCCAUUACUUUAAGUCACAAUUCAAACACAGUUAUAUAUCUAACUGAAAUACAUAAAUUAUAGACGUCGAGAGACAGAUAGUGGCGAUUCCUACCAGUAUAUGGAGAAGAAGGGCGCCAACGAGGAUUCUCCAUCGAAGAGACGAAGCAGCAUUGCCCUAGUAGGAGUAUAUUUUAGUUUACUAGUAUUUUCAUUUAAGUACGGCAAAAUUUGUAGUCGAUUUUCAAAGAACCUUUUCAAUUACUCCAUCUCCGUCCCACAAGGAUGACUAAUGGUGUUUUAUUUUUUG